Molecule: long non-coding RNA, 1034 nt
Filed under: Heterocephalus glaber (naked mole-rat)
Lineage: Eukaryota; Metazoa; Chordata; Mammalia; Rodentia; Bathyergidae
Description: lncRNA (ENSHGLG00000050119.1)
Source: RNAcentral
GGGGCAGCGAAGCAGGACUCGGCAUCGCGGGAGCCCUGGGCUGAAGAUGCGGGAGGCCUGCGGGGGAGAAGCGAGGGAGGCGCUUGGGGCUCGGGACUUACACCCAAGACGCACCCUGCCCCUGACUGACUUCGGAAAGGGAAGCCUCUCCAGCUAGUGAAACAUCUGAGGAGAUUUGUUAUGAGGAAGAAAGGAAAGGCAUUCAAAUCCCCUAUUGUAUGGACACUGUGGGCGUACGGUCUCAUCCUCACUAGGGGAUUCAACUCAGGUCCUUGCACUUGCGAGGCAGGCGGUGGAACCACUGAGCUAAAUCCCCCGGAUGACCGGGUAACUUCUGAGGAGAAAGGACGAGGAGAUGCAUCCUCCCGAGGCCCACACUGUGUUCAACCUGAAUGUGCUAAUUAUGGAGCACUAAGAAUCAUGAUGCCUGUGUUAGUCCUGUCGAUGGUCGUGGUCUUGUAGGACGAACGCUGGAUUUAGAAGCAGUUGUGUAAGUUAUUUCGGCCAGCACGAUGGCAGGUGCCAGUGAGCAAAAGGAAACAAACUCAAAUGGUGGGAGCAGUAUCGCCAGCCUCGCCAGGAGUGUUCCUGUAAGCACCACCAUGGAACUCUUGCAUGCCAAGCAAGGCUAAAUACAGCUUCUCUCUCGACACUGCACAAUUCGUCACAGAGCUAAUUGGGAGGGGAGCUUCAGGACUUCUAACGUAGGCUUCUUUUCAAUAGGGAAAAAGACUGGCCUGAAGAGACCCUAAGCAUCUUGCUACCUGUCUUCUCUCCUUGAAGGAUCUUCUUAGACCCAAAGGGACAUGACUUUUCAUGAGGUUGGGAGAGAAGCUAGUGAUGCAUUAAACCCACACUUUUCCUGCUGCCUCUGCUGCUGCCGCCACUGCUUCUGCCAACACAUACGCUCUUCACCCCCAUGGAGGGGCCCCGCUGCCAGUUCUCCAUCCACUGCCACCAGCAGCAGGAGCCAUGCCUCCACUGCACCUGCUUUAUGUGGCUCUCAGCAACAUCCACCUGUCUGUAAACAACUC